CUGCCGCUGGACCCGGGUCCUUGCGUCGGUGACGUGUGUGCUGCGCAGAUGCUCGCCUGUGAUCCCGAAGCGGUUCCAGCCGUGGGGCAGAGACCUCGUGCUCGCUGGAGCCCGGGCUGGGGCUUCACCCGGCGGAGCGUGCAGGGCGAGUUGAGGGCAGGCAGUGUGCAGCGUCAUGCGUGGCGGGCGAGUUGAGGGCAGUGUGCAGCUUCCUUGGCUUCCUGUCUGAGCUCUGCAAGUUGAUGUGAGCGCUUUCACAAGGGUCCCCGGCUUGCUCACCACGUGGAGAGUUUGAUUUUGCUCCAUCGUCCUUGAACCAAUCGCUUUCCCGCCGGAGCGGCCUGAAGACAGCAGGAACACGAGCUGAGGCUUAGGGCAAGGCUGUUUUGACUGAAGAAGGCAGAAGCCCAGAAGAUGAGGCCGGCCGGCUCCUGGCCUGGGCCAAGCUUCGAGCGGACGUGGCCCAGCAGAACUGCAGAACCGGGCCGAGGGGAGGCGGGUCCGUGUGCUUUGGGGUUCGCGGCACAGCACAGCUGCAGGCGGGCCCAUGACUCUCCCGUGGCGGCUGCCAGGCUAGCCAGCUCCUGCCCGGUGCGCCGAGGGUAGUCGGAGCCGGGACGCUCUCUGGGUGUUUGUGGAGUCUGUGGCAGAGGCCAUUCAGAGAAAUCCACCAGCCGCUCUGGGCGUGCAGAGCUCACAGGUGCCGUGGUGACAGACAGACAGACAAACAGAAUUCUGCUGCCCGCCUGGAGUUGCUCCAUGGGCCCUGCUGCUACGCGGCGGCCGGGACGUCAGCUAUGUCGCUGCUGGGUGGACCAUCUCCUAGUUCUUUGUCUCUUCUUGUAAGACAGAGAA
Erinaceus europaeus (western European hedgehog) is the source of this 855-nucleotide long non-coding RNA. RefSeq lists it as uncharacterized. NCBI's taxonomy places the organism in Eukaryota, Metazoa, Chordata, Mammalia, Eulipotyphla, Erinaceidae. The record is from RefSeq and is a predicted model, not a curated record. The transcript is spliced from 3 exons.